Molecule: long non-coding RNA, 137 nt
Organism: Sebastes umbrosus (honeycomb rockfish)
Lineage: Eukaryota; Metazoa; Chordata; Actinopteri; Perciformes; Sebastidae
Exons: 4
Source: RefSeq, a predicted model, not a curated record
UUUUUCGGUGAUUGGAUGGCGAGCACUUGUGUUGUGUAAACUGCUUAGAAACCCCCUAAUUGUCAAUCUAAAUAGGAAAGCCAUCCAUCCUCUGAAUGCUCUAGGUCUCUAGUUUGUGGCUGCAAAGUGACAUGAGG